CAUACAAAGGCUGGAAUGUAACAAAGCCCACCAAGAGUUUUGCCUAGGUCUUCCCUGGGCCUUGAAGCAUGACAAGAUAACGAAGGAAUUCCUAACAGGACCCAUUUAGGAUUAAACAAGUUUUAUUGGGGGUCUAAAGGAACUCCCUAGACCUCCACAAACAAGCUUUAUUGGGGACUAAAGGAACCUCCAUGAUUUAGCAGGAGACAAGAUAAGGGUAAUCACCCUGGCACCUGGACCCAUUUAGAUUAAGAAAAUUUACUAAGGCUCCAGAGGAAGGUCUUCAGUACUCAGAUUUUAGUUAUAGGUUAGAAGUUGAUUACUUGGCCGGACGGGGUGGCUCACGCCUAUAAUCCCAACACUUUGGAAGGCCGAGGCAGGUGGAUCACCUGAGGUCGGGAGUUUGAGACCAGCCUGACCAACAUGGAGAAACCCCAUCUCUACUAAAAAUACAAAAUUAGCCUGGCAUGGUGGUGCACACCUGUAAUCCCAGCUACUUGGAAGGCUGAGGCAAGAGAAUCACUUGAACCCAGGAGGCAGAGGUUGCAGUGAGCCGAGAUCGCGCCAUUGCACUCCAGCCUGGGCAACAAGAGCAAAACUCCGUCUCAAGAAAAAAAAAAAAAGUUUAUUACUUAUGUCUUUAGAUGAAUGCACACUUACAUACUUACACAUAGACAUAUAGCUUAGAAGGUGUAUAAGCUCUGGAAAACUUUAUAAUUUUGAGUUGGUCUGGCAAUAUUUCCCAGCCUUCUCUCUGUACCUAGUUAUAUAAAUAAACUCCCUUCUAUCCAGUUCAUCUGCAUCUCGUUAUUGGGCCAUGAGAAUAAGCAUAAAACAAACCUUCCUUUGAUGCUGGUAUCUAAGCACCAAAAAAUAGAUACCAGCAUCAAAAGAAGGUUUGGAUACAACCUUCUUUCAUUUUGUUUGGAUACAAGGAGCUAGUUUGGGUCUGCUCCUUUAAUGUAUCUAUGCUCAUAUUUUCCUUCCUCAAUUAUAAAAUAAAUUAGAGGUGAACACUGUGGUUAGCCAUAGAUUAACCAAGAAAGCAGAAAUCAUCUCAAAUGUUCACAGCAGAAGGAAUGGAAAGCAGUGGUGGGUCCAUGAAGAGUGGAGAGGCUGAGAAUUAAACAGAGGGCUCUAAAAUAAUCCUGGGAGAUUGACGAUAGCAGGAAGUCUUUAUCAUUCUUGGGCGGGAGAGACAAAAGGAAAACAUGGAAUUACUGGCACCAAGAGGACCACUCUGGGAGACUGGAUCUCUGGUGGCCUCGAUACAAAGGGGGCUGGAGUCACAGAGAAGAUAAAGCCACUGGAGAGGCCACCUUAGGCUGAAAACAGGAGGGAGUGUCUUGAUAGCUCCCUCCCCCAAAAACCACUCCUCACCCUGCUCUCUAAUUUUCCAUGGUUGAUAUAUUCCUGCUGCCCGUUGACUCAGUCCUUUCAGAAAUUCUCUGGAGCCUGAAAAAGUCACCCUGCCGAGGAUCAACUUCUUCACCCCAGAACAAGGCAGAGCAGAAGGAUGGAUCUGAGUGCAAACAGGUCCAGGACCAGCACACCAUAUGCCGACCUUGAGAAGGAAAUUCACUGAGCCAUUCCUUACGAGUGUUCCCAGGAGAAACAGGAAAGUGAGAAGUCAAGUCAGUCCAAGAAGAAUAAAGAGGCCAAGCCCAGUUGCAUAUCAGCAAUCUCACAGAGAGAGCUGCCUCAGUCCCUCGAGGCACAGUGACCCAUGAUAUUCAAGGUGGUGGCUCCUUUGUCAGAUGAAUUCCUGAGUGACCAUAAGCAGAGAUCUCCUAACGACCCAUGAUGGGUAGUGUGAGCAAGUAUGAACCAUCUAGUGGAGCAAGAAAUAGUGCCUAUAUAAGCACUGAGAUUUGAGGAUGGUUUGUUACCAGAGAAUUGCCUACCUUAUCCUGACUGAUAAUCAGAUGUAAUAAUAUACCUCUGACUGGUGUUGGCUCCAUCAUACACCAGGGAAACAGCUGUUGUCUAGUACUUAUAACAUGUAACUCAAAACCCCUGGUUUAAAUGAAUUCCUGAGUGCAUUAUGCAUAACAUUUGUAUAAUUGGCUUUUGUAAACAAGACAUUGCUAUAGUUCUUCACAGAAUUAUGCUAAUAUCGAUAGAUUAUUCUUCAUUUAUCUUUAUCUGUUCUGAGCCACUGAAAGAGGAAAGAUUUGUUAUGAGAACACAUAAAUACAGUAUCAUGAAAGGGAAAGAAAAAGUUCUGUUUUGCGGAAGGCAUUAGUCCCCUUUGUUAGUCAAAUGAAGAGAGACUAUUCAUUAUACUUUAAUCUUAAGGAAUCCAAGAUUGCUAAACUAAUGGAUGACAUGUGACUAAGGAAUGAAUUAGUUGAACUUUAUUCUAUGAGUUGCCACCAUGAACUGUGCAAUUAUAGCCAGGUCCUUUAAAUGCUUUGAAUGUUUUUCAUGUGCGGAUAAGAUUAUUUCAGACCUACCAGGCCUUGAAGAAGGAUCAAAGUCUUGUCAGAGCUUUUGCCUAAAAUUGAAAAUAUCAUGUUACUUGGACUAUUUAUUUAUCCCUGCACCUUGUUGCAAAAAGGAUUUUAAGUAGAUGGCAUAUUAUUAUUUUAUUAACACAUUAAAAAAAACCCAUAAGAGGAUUAUAGAGUUUUUCCCUAACCUACUUCUCAGAGUGUUUUAAGCACACUGUAGAAUUUAUUCACUCAUGAAUUUGAUACAAACUAAAGUGAAAAUCUCUUCUCUGGAACCUCAUAAUGCUUAGAAAGCAUAGUAACACGUUCGGAGAAAGAGGAAGAUCAAAUUUAGAGGAAGCUCUUGUUUGAGUUUCUGCCACAAUGAGUUUCCCAUUCUAGAUAUUAAAAUAAUAGUAUAUACCCCAAAUAAAAUACUCAAGUUUCUGUAAAUUAAGGAUUAUGACUUGAUUAUACAUAUUUUAGAUUUAGAGCAUGCAUAAAAAAAUAUCUUUUUCACCAACUAGUAGAAAAAAAUUCAAAAUAAUGUGAUGAUUUUAAUCUUCCAUGAUAUGUAAUCUAAAAUAUCAAAACAUCACUGACUUUGCAUUAUAAUUAAAUAUAAAAGGUGACUGACUUAAGCCAAAUUUAAAAAAAAAAAUUGAGACAAGGUCUGUGUCAUCAGAGGUGGUAAGCAGUAGUGCAAACACAGCUCACUGCAGCAUUGACCUCCUGGGCUCAAACUCUCCUCCCAUCUCAGCCUCCCAGGCAGC
Homo sapiens (human) is the source of this 3205-nucleotide long non-coding RNA. RefSeq lists it as uncharacterized. The record is from RefSeq and is a predicted model, not a curated record. NCBI's taxonomy places the organism in Eukaryota, Metazoa, Chordata, Mammalia, Primates, Hominidae. The transcript is spliced from 3 exons.